AUAGCGUAUAUUAAAGUUGUUGCAGUUAAAAAGCUCGUAGUUGGAUUUCAAGGGACGCAGUAUGGAUUCAUGCUGCCCCCUACCAGUCUUUGACUGUUACCGUGAGAAAAUUAGAGUGUUUCAAGCAGGCUGUUGCAGGAAUACAUUAGCAUGGAAUAACGAAUGUGUCUAGAAUCUUGGUUAAUUCUAGAUUUCGAUUAAUAGGGACAGUUGGGGGCAUUAGUAUUUAAUUGUCAGAGGUGAAAUUCUUGGAUUUGUUAAAGACUAACGUAUG
This 274-nucleotide ribosomal RNA is filed under the name uncultured eukaryote. RNAcentral describes it as "partial 18S ribosomal RNA". It matches the Rfam family "Eukaryotic small subunit ribosomal RNA", at positions 594 to 945 of the family's 1831-position model. The record is from RNAcentral.